Molecule: long non-coding RNA, 369 nt
Organism: Mauremys reevesii (Reeves's turtle)
Lineage: Eukaryota; Metazoa; Chordata; Testudines; Geoemydidae
Exons: 2
Source: RefSeq, a predicted model, not a curated record
AGCCAUUACCAGGCUGAUAAGUGUUGCUGAGGAGAAGGAGGGAAGCUGCCCCAAAGAGCCCCAUCCUCUGCCCCCGGCCCUAGCGCGCUACGCCGGGGUGGGGGGAUGGACAGAAAGGGCUGUUACCUGCGGCAGAAGAUGCUGGGAUCAGUUCCAGCACAACUGUGAAACAGAUGAAGAACUUAGGAAAAGAAUUAAAAUACCUACAGAGAAUACUUUAUGUAGUACUGUGAGCCUAACCAAUACCCUAUUCCCUUGUCAGCUAAACAAUUUCUUAGAAAAAUAUUUCUCAACAUUAGACAUUUUAGUACUUUAUAGCAGUAGCUGUAUGUAUUAAUUUUGUGUAUUUAUUAAAAUUACAAAAAUCAA